GACGAACCGAGCGAACGUUGUUCGGAAUCACUGGGCUUAAAGGGCGCGUAGGCGGACUAUCAAGUCUGGGGUGAAAUCCCGCGGCUCAACCGUGGAACUGCCUCAGAUACUGACGGUCUCGAGGGAGGUAGGGGCAUGCGGAACUGUAGGUGGAGCGGUGAAAUGCGUUGAUAUCUACAGGAACUCCGGUGGCGAAAGCGGCGUGCUGGACCUCUUCUGACGCUGAGGCGCGAAAGCUAGGGGAGCAAACAGG
RNAcentral lists this ribosomal RNA (253 nucleotides) under uncultured bacterium. RNAcentral's name for it is "partial 16S ribosomal RNA". It matches the Rfam family "Bacterial small subunit ribosomal RNA", at positions 524 to 776 of the family's 1533-position model. The record is from RNAcentral.